GGCCUAGUGAUACAUGGCUGAGAAACAGAAGGGCAGCUGAAGAGAUGGAUGGCCACUGUCCAUGUACCAGCUCAGGAAGAGUAGACAAAGGGGAACCAUUCUGAUCCCCAAUUCUGGGCAAAAAGGAGUCUCAGGUUCAGUUAGUUUCUGACUGGCUGUCCUAAUCCCUCUGCCCAGUGUAAAGGUAGUGGUGGCCAAGUGACUGAGCUCAUAUAUGGGAAGGAAGACUUGUAGGUCUUACGUGGCUUAUUUGCCAUUCUAGAAUGAAGCAGUCAUUUAGGACCCAAAGUGGCUCAGGAGGGGGACUUGGGUGGCCCAAUUCCCCAACUCUGUCACCCAGAUACCUUCCUGUCAUAAGCCCAGUCCUGGUGUCUCCCUCAUCUCAUAAGUCUUUUUCCACAGGGGGAGUGGCCAGGACCCCUUUGCCUAACAGAGGACAAGGACUUCAAGAUACAGAAGUGAGAAGAAAUGACACCUGGCCAUAUAAACACAGAUGACAGCUGUUGUGCCACAUAACAGGAGCACAACAUUGCCCUAAAUGAUGUGGUUCAACGUGACUCCAGGGUCAGCCACUGUUGACACUCCUGAAUAAGGGGUUAUAUGCCAGCCACCACCACAAUGGAAAGUCAGGUGCCUCCUGCUUCCAGAAUGCUAUCUCACCCAGGUAUCUGCCUUCCCCUCCCAGGGACCGAGGAAAACUCCCUGAUAUCAAUGUAGAAGCUCAAGGCACCGUCAGCCAAGUACAGCCCAGACGUUUCCCAACAGCUUUCACCAGCGUAAAGCGGCUAGCCACCUUGGAUUCCGCCGCCCCUUCCAGGAACGCAUUCGUUUGAUUUGAAAAAUCAUUGUAGAAUAUUAAAUUUACCAAUUACAUAAAAAUAUGCCUUCAGGCGGACGUGGUGGCGCGCGCCUUUAAUCCCAGCACUCGGGAGGCAGAGGCAGUCGGAUCUCUAUGAGU
Nannospalax galili (Upper Galilee mountains blind mole rat) is the source of this 958-nucleotide long non-coding RNA. RefSeq lists it as uncharacterized. The transcript has 3 exons. The record is from RefSeq and is a predicted model, not a curated record. NCBI's taxonomy places the organism in Eukaryota, Metazoa, Chordata, Mammalia, Rodentia, Spalacidae.